Molecule: non-coding RNA, 72 nt
Organism: Phrynosoma platyrhinos (Desert horned lizard)
Lineage: Eukaryota; Metazoa; Chordata; Lepidosauria; Squamata; Phrynosomatidae
Source: the annotation of a GenBank genome assembly
GCCAGUGUGGUGUAGUGGUUUGAAUAUUGGACUAUGACUCUGGAGACUAGGCUUCAAAUCUCUGCUCAGCUA